RNAcentral lists this ribosomal RNA (405 nucleotides) under uncultured bacterium. RNAcentral's name for it is "partial 16S ribosomal RNA". It matches the Rfam family "Bacterial small subunit ribosomal RNA", at positions 28 to 526 of the family's 1533-position model. The record is from RNAcentral.
GACGAACGCUGGCGGCGUGCUUAACACAUGCAAGUCGAGCGGAGCGGCGAACGGGUGAGUAACGCGGGAGUAACUGCCCCCCUCCCUGGGAUACCAGUUGGACACGGCUGCUAAUACCGGAUAGUGGGGUAUGACUCGCGUCCUAUGAGCUUUUUGGUGGGGGAGUGGCCUACCACGGCGACGCCGGGUAGCCGGCCUGCGAGGGCGCCCGGCCACAUGGCGCUGAGAUACGGACCAAACUGCUACGGGAGGCAGCAGGGGGGAAUCUGGCGCAGCGGGGGAAACGCUGAGGCAGCAACGCCGCGUGCGGGAUGAAGGCUUUCGGGUUGUAAACCGCUUUCAGCCAUGACGCGGUAGUGGCAGAAGAAGCACCGGCUAACUACGUGCCAGCAGCCGCGGUAAUAC